Molecule: ribosomal RNA, 502 nt
Filed under: uncultured bacterium
Lineage: Bacteria
Description: partial 16S ribosomal RNA
Rfam family: Bacterial small subunit ribosomal RNA
Source: RNAcentral
GACGAACGCUGGCGGCGUGCUUAACACAUGCAAGUCGAACGGUGAAGGGGCCUGCUUUUGUGGGCCCUGGAUGAGUGGCGAACGGGUGAGUAACACGUGAGUAACCUGCCCCCUUCUUCUGGAUAACCGCAUGAAAGUGUGGCUAAUACGGGAUAUUCUGGGUCUGUCGCAUGAUGGGUCUGGGAAAGAUUGGGCCUUUGGGUGUUUUUGGUGGGGGAUGGGCUCGCGGCCUAUCAGCUUGUUGGGGGGGUGAUGGCCUACCAAGGCGGUGACGGGUAGCCGGCCUGAGAGGGUGGACGGUCACACUGGGACUGAGACACGGCCCAGACUCCUACGGGAGGCAGCAGUGGGGAAUAUUGCGCAAUGGGCGCAAGCCUGAUGCAGCGACGCCGCGUGAGGGAUGGAGGCCUUCGGGUUGUAAACCUCUUUCGCCAGUGAAGCAGGCCUGCUCCUUGUGGGUGGGUUGACGGUAGCUGGAUAAGAAGCGCCGGCUAACUACGUG